AACUGCUCCAGAAUAAGCUCUUGGAAACGGGUGGUAAUGCUGGAUGCUCCAACUUGACGCAUGUCUUGUUGGGAAAGUGUUAGUGGCAUGGGAUGGGGUCGCGUCCUAUCAGCUUGUAGGCGGGGUAAUGGCCCACCUAGGCUUCGACGGGUAGCCGGCCUGAGAGGGCGGACGGCCACAUUGGGACUGAGAUACGGCCCAGACUCCUACGGGAGGCAGCAGGG
This 224-nucleotide ribosomal RNA is filed under the name uncultured Gardnerella sp. RNAcentral's name for it is "partial 16S ribosomal RNA". It matches the Rfam family "Bacterial small subunit ribosomal RNA", at positions 131 to 354 of the family's 1533-position model. The record is from RNAcentral. Lineage: Bacteria; Bacillati; Actinomycetota; Actinomycetes; Bifidobacteriales; Bifidobacteriaceae.